RNAcentral lists this ribosomal RNA (273 nucleotides) under uncultured bacterium. Its description in RNAcentral is "partial 16S ribosomal RNA". It matches the Rfam family "Bacterial small subunit ribosomal RNA", at positions 524 to 796 of the family's 1533-position model. The record is from RNAcentral.
UACGUAGGGGGCAAACGUUGUCCGGAAUGACUGGGCGUAAAGGGCGAGUAGGUGGUUUGACAAGUCAGAAGUGAAAACUCCGGGCUCAACUUGGAGACUGCUUCUGAAACUGUUAGACUUGAGUGCAGGAGAGGGAAGUGGAAUUCCUAGUGUAGCGGUGAAAUGCGUAGAUAUUAGGAGGAACACCAGUGGCGAAGGCGGCUCUCUGGCCUGUUGCUGACGCUGAGGCGCGAAAGCGUGGGGAUCAAACAGGAUUAGAUACCCCUGUAGUCC